UCGCAUCCGCCAACCGGUUCAGCCGUGUCGCGGAAGGUUUUCCAAACCAGCUAAUGUUUUCCCAAGGGAAACGAAAGUAGCG
Molecule: regulatory RNA element, 82 nt
Organism: Xylophilus sp. Leaf220
Lineage: Bacteria; Pseudomonadati; Pseudomonadota; Betaproteobacteria; Burkholderiales
Rfam family: SucA RNA motif
Source: Rfam